UACGGAGGAUGCAAGCGUUAUCCGGAUUUAUUGGGUUUAAAGGGUGUGUAGGCGGAAGAAUAAGUCAGUGGUGAAAUCCUGCAGCUCAACUGUAGAACUGCCAUUGAUACUGUUUUUCUUGAGUAUAGUUGAGGUAGGCGGAAUGUGUUGUGUAGCGGUGAAAUGCUUAGAUAUAACACAGAACACCGAUUGCGAAGGCAGCUUACUAAACUAUCACUGACGCUGAGGCACGAAAGCGUGGGGAGCGAACAGG
Molecule: ribosomal RNA, 253 nt
Filed under: uncultured bacterium
Lineage: Bacteria
Description: partial 16S ribosomal RNA
Rfam family: Bacterial small subunit ribosomal RNA
Source: RNAcentral